GCUCUCACCUACCGGUCCUCUUACCCGCUCCUGCCCAGCCGACACAGGUCAGCCCCCAGAAUUAGCUCACAGACAGACCCUCCAGGAGCAUCAAUCACGGGGCUGAAUGGGAAGCCCAUGUAUGGGAACCGCGGGAGGAGUGGAGCAAAGAGCCCGCUGCGGCCCCUCUGACCCUGUCACCACAUAUCUGUCCCUGCGAUGCUUCCUCGGGUCCCCCAGCUCGGCUCCGGCUGCGGGUGCCCGGCCUCCUCUUUGCUUGACAGAACAGGUUAUUCUGGUUGCCGCACAAAUUCAGAGUCGUGGUUGUUGGGGGGGGGGGGGGGGGCGCUUGCUGAGUUUCUGCUUCUGUGUUGUAACGUGAUCUUCCUACCUUGGUCCUGGGUUGGGGUUUUCUUUUCUCAUUAGAGAUUAUGUGCUUUCACAAGGCUUCUGUGUCUCACAACAAACGGUACAAGGGGGAUCGGGGUACUGGUCCCGAGUUUCGUUCUUCCAUCUGUAAUACAAGGGUGACGGUUCAGAAUUAUGAGCUAACAAUGAACGAGUGAGGAUAAGACACCCUGAAAAUACAAAAUAAUGUAAACACACAAUGCUUGUCUGCUCUUUACCAGUAAUCUUUUCUAAGGCCGACCUGAUCUCCUGUUCUCUCCUGACCUGAAGGUUUGGGGGCCUUAUUCAUGCACCUGCCCCAGGCUGCCCCCCCCCGCCCCCAAGCUGGUGCCUCCUCCUUGAUGCCUCGGAAAGAGGCAGGCCUGGGACACGGUCGGUUCUGAUGCUUGUAUACUGCACGCCCAUACUGGUGCCUGGCGUCCUCGCUCCCGCCUGUUACCUGGGACCGGCCUCAACAGCAGCUCCCCCCUGCCCUGCAAGGCACAAGGCCAAAGGAGGAGCUAGAGUCCUGCUUGGGGCAAGGACUGCUGUCAGGGGCUCUGGGCCGCUGCUCUGGGGGCACUUCCAGAUCCUACAGCACGGAGAGGUUUUCCCGGGGGGAAGGGUGGGCACUUUGUGACAGGAGAAAACCCACUGCCAGAGCCUAGUGAAGUCUAAAGCAGAAUCAGGUCUAUGCUGUCCCCUGGUGGUCGUGUUUCAUACUACAGUCGGCUCCUUGAGUCCCUGUAAAAUCACAAAGUAUUGAACUCUUUUUUUUUUUUUGGAUGAUAAAUUCUUAAAAUUCAUGGCAAAAUAUACACAACAUGAAAUUUGCCAAUUGAAAGUAUGUCGUUGUGGGACAAUAAGUACAUCCAUGUCGGCAACUUGAUGAUAAAUUUUUGUUAAGACCAAGGUCAUGUUAUACCCUAUGGAUUUUUUUAAAUUGGGGUAUAAUUGAUUAUAAGAUUCUGUUAGUUCCAAGGGUAUACAAUCACUCACAUAUAUUAUAUUAUACAGUGUGGAAGUCUAGAGCUGAGAAGAAUCAGUGAAGACGAAAGCAUAGAUCUGAAUCUUCUCAUGGGAUUGAAGGCAAAGUUCCACUCCAAGAGUCAUUCAGUCUUUAUCCGGUAAUGAGCAUGAACCAGUAGACAUUGCCGGAACAAAAAUUACCAAUUUAGUGGAUUAAAAUCGGCUUUUGCAGUUAAGAAUUAAAAUUGUACCAUUUCACCAAUUUUGACUUUCACCAAGUUUGUUUCAACGUUCCAUCUAAUUCUCACCCUUUUAUAGCAGUUUGGGGGGAAGAGAACAAUCUAUUUUUUUAAUCCCGAUUUCACUGACAUGGAAACCGAGACAGAAGCCGAAACCCUCUGCAGAGUCAUUAGCAGACUGAGGAUUACAGGGCUCUGGGUCCGAAAUCAGAGGUCACGCGGGCCAGGGAUUCUGGGGCAGACCCCCAGAGCUUCAGUUGUGCAUUAGCGGUUUCACCCCCCAUUUUUCCUCAUCCCUGACACAGCGCACUAAGAGCGCUUCUAGUCAGCUGUGUAUGCUAUGUGAGGCAUUUCAAAUAUGUUUCUGGGAGUUGUCAGUGCUGUUCUCCAUGAGGCCUGAAGGCAAAAUUCAACGUUUGUAGUAAAUAAAGUACUAAAAUUAUAUCAGCUAUUAAGAGGAUGGAUUAUUUCCAAGUUGCUUAGCCAUAUUGGCUGAGUGUUGAGCUCAACCUUGGUGCCAACAUAUUACGCACAUGUUCCUGGGCACCGAGAAUGACACUGAACAUGGAGGUACGGAGUUGGCUGGGCAGGAUAUCAAGGUAGGGGCAGCAGGGUUCAAGAAGGAGUUGAUGGAGAUGUAAGAGCAGGUUCUGGAAACUCUGCGAGGCUGGAACCUCCACCUGACUAGCUCCCAAAAGCUGAGGCAGAUGAGACAGGCAGCGUGAGAGGCUGGAUUCGUAGUGUUUUGCAAACAGUGGGCCCCAAGGCAUAUGUGUUACUAGAAUCGAAGGCACCUAUGGAUUUUCUCAUCCUCUCCCUCUAAGUCUCUAUUAUGAGCUGAAUUAUGUCCUCCAAAAGUUAUAUGUUGAAGCCCUAAACCCCAGUACCUGAAAAUAUGAGUGUAUCUGGAGAUAGGGACUUUAAAGAGCUUUCUGAGUUAAAAUGAGGUCAGUAGGACGGGCCGUAAUCCAGUAUAACUGGUGUCCUUAUGAGAAGACAAAAUUAGGACACAGACACACACAAAGGAGAGACGUGAAGACACAGUGAGAAGACGGUCAUCUGCAAGCCAAGGAAAGAGACUUCAGAAGAAACCAACCUUGCCGACUGCCACCUUGAACUCGGACUUCUAGCUUCCAUAACUGUGAGGAAACAGAGUUCUGUUUAAGCCACCCAGACUGUGGUGUUUUGUCACAGCAGCCCUAGCAGAAGACACAGUCUCCUUGUGAGUUUAAAGAACAUGACAGGGUUGCCUGGGUGGCUCAGAUUAAGAUUCUGUCUCCCUCUCUCUCUCUCUCUCUCCCUCUGCCCCUCUACCCCACUCAUGCUCUCUCUCUCUAAAAUUAAAAAAAAAAAAAAAGAAAGAACAUGACUGGAUGGCCCACCUAGUAUCAACACCAACCAAAUGAAAACCGUCAAAGGCCAUUCUGGUAGGAGCUAAAAAAAAAAAUCUAAAACCAAAAAAUACAAACCUAGGAAGAUGGUUUGUGAAAUAACAUCUGGUUUGAAUGACGCCCAGUGUCUUUUACUAGACAAGAUGCAUUAGCACAAUUUCUGGAGAAAAGCCCAAAUACGUGCCCCAAAUAUGUACACCACGAUAUGAUGGAAUAUAAAUCUUUUUUCCCCCUGGCUCUACGGUGUCCUAUGGAAGGAAUCCAAAUAGUAUGAAAAAUGUCCUCGAGUUAAGGUGCAUCAUACCAGCCAAGUUUAUGGAACCAAGUUACAAAGUUACAAGUGUUACAAGAAAAAUACAUUCAUGUAAUGUUACGGCUAAUUUUUCUUUAGCUCUCCUAUCUGGGGUUCAAUUUACAGAUUACAUUAUUUGAUGAAACUACACAAGAUUUAAUCAGAAGAGGGACCUCAGCACUGAGGACUUGGCAACCAGCUAAGGCAGAUAGUCUGUAGGGCAUCAUCGAUGGUGGGGAUGUUGGUGACACUGAAGACCAGCUUACCUUUACUGAGCAUUUCCUGGGGCACAGGCACUAAAUAGGCGCUUGGCAUAUUUCAUGUCAGUUUCACAGGGACCCUGAUGGAUAACACAGGGUACAAGGUAGCAGCUUAGUUUUGGCUACUACAACUACUCAGUUGUGUGAACUUGAGCAAAUGACAUUACUCUGUGUAACUGUCUUCUCGUUUGUAAAAGGUUGUUUACACACAUAAAAGUGCUUGACGUAGUGCCUGGUACAUAUAGAAGUUUUUUUUAAAACCAAAUCUUUAUUUUUUUUAAUUAAAAAAAUUUUUUUAAUGUUUAUUUAUUUUUGAGAGAAAGAGAGAGGAGGGAGAGGGAAAGAGUGAGCAGGGGAGGGGCAGAGAGAGAGGGAGACUGAGGAUCUAAAGGGGGCACUACACUGCCAGCAGAGAGCCCUGUGUGGGCUCAAACUCACGAACCAUGAGACCAUGACGAGAGCAGAAGUCAGAAUCUUUUUUUUUUUUUUAACGUUUAUUUACUUUUGAGACAGAGAGAGACAGAGCAUGAACAGGGGAGGGGCAGAGACAGAGGGAGACACAGAAUCCGAAACAGGCUCCAGGUUCCGAGCUGUCAGCACAGAGCCCGACGCGGGGCUCGAACUCACAGACCGUGAGAUCAUGACCUGAGCCGAAGUUGGACACUUAACUGACUGUGCCCCCAAAAGUUUUAAUAAAUGUAGGCUGCUAGUAUUUUUUCUUAACAUCCUCACAUGGGGAAACAAAGGACAGUAGAGAUGUUAAGCAAUUUGCCCGAUAACUCGGUGCCAUUCUGAAGCAGGAUCCAGGCGGGCACAUCGGAUCCCCCAUUACUCAGGCUCUCCAGUGCCUCCUGUUGGUCAUACUGUCCUUUGCAGGUUCUCGUGACCUUCUUCCUGCUGAGACCUGACAGAAUGAUUUUAAUAUGGGUGACACAUGUUCCCUUACCCCUAAGUACUUCAGUGUGUGAUACCUAAAAACAGGGACAGUCUCUUUCAGAACCACAGGAAAAUGAUCAAAAUCAGGAAAUUAACACCGAUAUACUAAUAUCUAAUUUCUAGAAUUUAUUCAAAUUUUGCCAACCGUUCUGCUGACACAUAGGAAAGCAAAAAGGAAAUAAUCCUUUUCUGGUUCAGGAUCUGAAUCCAGGGUCCCACAAGGCAUUUAAUUAUUGUGCUUCUUUUGUCUUUCUUUAUCUGGAACAAUUCCUCAGCCUUUGUGUGUGUGUGUGUGUGUGUGUGUGUGUGUGUGUGUGUGUGUGACUUUCACGACCUUUAUGCAUAUAGAGUACAGGUACGGGGGGGGACUGCCCCUCAUUUUGAAAUCAGAUUUUUUGUUUUUAAUGUGCACUUUCUGGAAGCAUAAGUUUAUCCAAAGGGAUGAAAAAAUGGCAGGAAUAUAUGAACUAUCAUAACAGAACUGAAGGGGUCGUUUUGAGGUGAGAUGGGUCUUCUGAUAACACGUACGUUGAACUGUGUUUGUGGAUAUCACGGUUGAUCCUGCAUGAAAGUUGUUCAGUGUUAGUCUGGUAAGUAAGUCAGUUGUUUCAUAUAUAUGAAUAUGGGUUUGAUUUACACAGUCUCUAAUACUCUGUCCAGUUCUGGAUUCUUCUAGCGUGAUGGAAUUCUGAUAUGUUGUUAUGAUGCCAUCUCCAUGCUUCAAGUGUUCCCGAACUGGCUUCCCCCCCCAGUAAGGAACAUCCUGGUUAACGUCACUUAUCUCCAACCAUCCCAUUCUCUCCUUCCCCUAGCCUUUGCAACGUUUGGUCCGCUUUUCUUUUUUUGUGUACUCAGAUGCCUUAUUUUAACUAUGUUUCUGCCACGUGAUUGCUCUUGGGAUGUAGGACAUGCCUCACGUACUAUGACUGUGUGCAACACGUCUCCUCCACUGAGGACACUACCAGCUCCCGGGGGGCACCAAGUCACUGCCCACGCCUCUUGUUGUGUAUUCUUCUUGUGAAAUAAUUGCUAUGUGCACACGCCUGGCAGGAACUGAAUGCCUGCUGAGUGGCAGUGUCACCAAGGAGUUGGCCUCAACGCCGUAAUUCCCUGCGUGAAGUUCUCGGGCUCGCUUUCUAGACGUAAUUUCCAAGGGCUUUCUUUGCUUUGGGGGGCAAAAGAGAGAGGGGAGGCAACAGGUCCGCUGGGAGGGUAGACUUUGGUGGGGACUCUGGGAGAAUAAUGAUGAGAUUUUGCCAACAAUUACAUAGCGAAGGUAUAGAGUUUCUACUUGCCUUUGAAACGGCAGAGACUUGCCACCUCCUUCACAGAUCAGAAGGAUGGGAGUCUAGAUAAAACGGCAGCUUUGAGUUGCAGACAACCACUUGUGUGUGAUAGUUUUAGAAUGAGCGGAAAUAGAACGGUUUGCACUUUACAGACACCUUUCAAGCACCCACCCGUCCACGCGUCCACCCGUUAUUUCCUUAUUCAGCGUAUCCCAGCUUCCGUUCUCGGCCCUGAGAAUGCAGAGGUGGAAAGAGGAAAGGCUUGGUCCGUUCAGUGGGGCAGGGUAACUACAAUGGGGUGCGGCGGACUUAAAACCACACAAAUAAUUUCAGAGGUGAAGCUGUAACGUAACGAAUGCGGAGACCGUGUCCCCCUUCGAGGCCAGCGACCUCCCGGGAAGGCGUGCCUCCUUUGGCAAGGGUGCUGUGCAGGGCCCGGGCAGGCACACAGAGUCACCUGUGUGUGGAAGGCCUCCGUGGGCUGUGGGAAUGGCGCUCUUGGAUUUCCUGACUUUUGUUCAUUGAUGGUCUCACGCACAGAGUCGCAUUAACCCAGUUUCCUAGACUCAAUGAAACCAUUGGCAGCUUUCUGAUUUGUUUUUCAGCCUGAGCCGACGCUGGCAAAGAAGCCAGAAUUCCCAAGCUUUCCCAGGCGAGUGUGGAGAAACACCAGGACGCCUUUUUCUCCCCGCACCCCCCGCCCCGUCCCAUCUGCAGCCAAGUGUGCCUCGGUCAAAGGCAAACUCUGAAUCAAGCUUUGUGCUGGUCUCUGGAAGGAUACCCGGGAUCGUGUGACGGAGAAAAGUGACAGCGGCGGUGGUGGCAGUGACAUCUGUGGGGCUAGCCCCGUCCCUAUCUGCCGCGGGAUGCGUGUGGGCAUGCUUUGUGAGAAGAAUCCACCCCGGGUAGAAUGGGGCUUUUGACAUCAGCUGAGGCCUGGGCUGCCUCACAAUGAGGCCUGUUGGUCAAAGGGAGACUGUUUAAUGAAGUGCCCGCCAGAGGCCAGCUCCGGCCAUCUGUACUGGGGACCUUCGGAGCGAGCCUUCCCUGUAACCGGCUACAUGUGCGAAAGCACGUUGCCUUUCACAGAAGGCAGCUGCGACGAUAAAUUCAUAUUCCCAAACGGUGACCUUUUGACUGCUUUUUGUGUGUGCGUGAUGAAAAGCUUCAUACCAGCUUGAUACUAAGGCUUCAUAAGCAAGGAAGCCGGAAAAAGGAGCCUUUUUUGGCCCUGAGGUCAAUAAUGAUAACGGCUUUCUCCUUACACGAGGUAGCAACGCCCUGCCAAGGAUGCGAAAACACCGCGUGAAAAUGAAAUUCGUGAAAGCCCUUAAUGAUCAAGUGAGGGGGGCAGGUGAUGGCAACCGCCACCCCACGGCUGGUGAAACGCCGAGGUUCGGGGAGAAGGAUGACUCAUGACCAAGGUCAAAGAGCAGCUGGGCGGUGGGGCUCGCGUCACAUCAUGUCCUCCAGCCUCUGGCACUGAGGAAAUCACGUAAAACUUUGCGAUGACUUUUCCUGGCAGGCUCGUUCUUCCCAGCCGGAGCGCAGGUGGCAAUGUUGCGAUUCCUGGCGUAACCUUCAAUGCUUCACUGAUAAUCUCUGUCGUCGCCAGGCACCAGCAGACUGUCACAGCGCAACUCCCAGGCUUCAGCGAUGCCCGCCGAGGUCUUCAUUGCAGCCUCUCAUUUAUUAGCUGUGUUGGAAAGAACUCUCUAAUACCUAGCUGGGUACCUCUGGAUUUUAACAGCUGUGGUUUAUAAGAGAUUUAGGGGGGGGGGUUGUUUUCAAAGUGCCUUUCAGAAAGUAUCACCUUAGACGGGAGUUUCCGUUCUGUUCCGGUAGGAUGACUUGCUCUUGUGCUCAGAAAACCAAGCCUGCAAGAAAAAUCAGAUAUUUUCUUACAAGACUUCUUAGCAGGCGGGCCUCUAUAUGACUUUCCCUUCUCCUCCCCUUUAUUGGCCAUAACCUUAACGGAAGGCUUUUGAUGUCAAAUGCCGAGUAUCUUGGAAGAGGUCCUGCGUAGACAAGACUGCUUGGCCAGGGGCUGGAGAGUCACAGUUGGACUGGACUUGAAGGCCCCUUCUAAUCUGAGAUGUUGUGACUCCGGAACUAAUUAGCCUCAACUUCUGCAAUGAAAUGACACUAACUGCCAUUUAUUGAGCACUUUCUGUGUCAGCUCUGUGCUGAGAUCUUAACAUCAUUCUCUGAAUUCUGACAAAACCCCGCCAAUAUCAUCCACCUUUUACGAACGAAGAAACAGGGGUUUAGAGAAGUUAAAAGCUUGUCUGGUGGCACAGAUGUAAGGUUUGGUGAGCGACUGUCCCCUGGAAAUCGAUUCCAGGUGAGUCUACAUCCAUACUCGAAACCCACAACUCAACCAGAAUGAAAGGGAGACACCAGGGAUUGCCCUGUUCACGGAUCAGUUCACGAUCUCUCGGGGCGGCUAGUGUGUAUUCGUUAGUCAGAUUCAGUGUUGCAGUUAGGGAGCAA
RNAcentral lists this long non-coding RNA (8232 nucleotides) under Lynx pardinus (Iberian lynx). Lineage: Eukaryota; Metazoa; Chordata; Mammalia; Carnivora; Felidae. The record is from RNAcentral.